AACGAACGCUGGCGGCAGGCCUAACACAUGCAAGUCGAGCGAGGACUUCGGGUCUAGCGGCGGACGGGUGAGUAACGCGUGGGAAUGUGCGAUUCUCUACGUAAUAGCCCAGUAAAACUGGGAGUAAUACCGGAUACGCGCUAGAGGGGAAAGAUAUAUCGGGGUAGGAUCAGCCCGCGUUCGAUUAGGUAGUUGGUAGGGUAAUGGCCUACCAAGCCGACGAUCCAUAGCUGGUUUGAGUGGAUGACCGGCCACACUGGGACUGGGACACGGCCUAGAGUACAACGGGAGGCAGCCGGGGGGAAGCUGAGGCAAUGGGGGGAAACCUAUGCUAGCCAUGCCGUGUGAGUGAUGAAGGCCUUAGGGUUGUAAAGCUCUUUCAGCUGGGAAGAUAAUGACAGUACCAUCAGAAGAAGCCCCGGCUAACUCCGUG
RNAcentral lists this ribosomal RNA (433 nucleotides) under uncultured bacterium. Its description in RNAcentral is "partial 16S ribosomal RNA". It matches the Rfam family "Bacterial small subunit ribosomal RNA", at positions 29 to 507 of the family's 1533-position model. The record is from RNAcentral.